UACAGAGGGGGCAAGCGUUGUUCGGAAUUACUGGGCGUAAAGGGCGCGUAGGCGGUCAGCACAAGUCAGUUGUGAAAUCUCCGGGCUUAACCCGGAAAGGUCAACUGAUACUGUGCGACUAGAGUGCGGAAGGGGCAACUGGAAUUCUCGGUGUAGCGGUGAAAUGCGUAGAUAUCGAGAGGAACACCUGCGGCGAAGGCGGGUUGCUGGGCCGACACUGACGCUGAUGCGCGAAAGCCAGGGGAGCGAACGGG
Molecule: ribosomal RNA, 254 nt
Filed under: uncultured bacterium
Lineage: Bacteria
Description: partial 16S ribosomal RNA
Rfam family: Bacterial small subunit ribosomal RNA
Source: RNAcentral